RNAcentral lists this transfer RNA (72 nucleotides) under Climaconeis cf. scalaris. Its description in RNAcentral is "tRNA-Cys". It matches the Rfam family "tRNA". From Rfam's summary of the family: Transfer RNA (tRNA) molecules are approximately 80 nucleotides in length. The record is from RNAcentral. Lineage: Eukaryota; Bacillariophyta; Bacillariophyceae; Naviculales; Amphipleuraceae.
GGCGGUAUAGCCAAGUGGUAAGGCCGUGGAUUGCAAAUUCUCUAUACUCCAGUUCGAAUCUGGAUGCCGCCU